Panicum virgatum (switchgrass) is the source of this 595-nucleotide long non-coding RNA. RefSeq lists it as uncharacterized. The record is from RefSeq and is a predicted model, not a curated record. The transcript is spliced from 3 exons. Lineage: Eukaryota; Viridiplantae; Streptophyta; Magnoliopsida; Poales; Poaceae.
GAAUGUUUUUCUCAUUUGGACUAGGUUGGCUUGCAUGUAUUUUGGCGGUUUAUUUGAUUAAGGAUAUGCCUGAGUAAUCUAUGGUUCUUCACUCCAAGAUCUAGUGAGUUUUCACACCGACAGGUAAAGAGGAAGUAGGUCGGCCUGAGUUACAUUGCGUCAGCCAAGUUGUGACAGCUUGGAUUAUUAAAGGCGGCGUAUCAGAUGGAGCGCUGAUCGCCACCUUGCAUCUUUGAUCUGCAUAACCUAAACCCAAAUGCUCGCAAGAGACCAUUGAGAUGUAACUGCUGUGAUGGCAUGUCCUCCAACAAAUUCAAGAGUUUCUGUUACACUACACGUAGCGAUCAUGCUGGGACGCGGCGUGUCUACCUAUUCCUUCCAGCGGCCGCCGUCUAUCCGCUCCUCUGCUGGCCUGACCGGAAACCGGGCGAGUCAAAUUCAGGAAGUAGAACGGCGUAGGGAAUUUCGGAAACUAUCAUCUCAAUAGACAGGUUUGACACAAGCGGAACAACGAAUCAUUUGACUGCCAGGUAGCGAAACCAUUUUCUUUUAUCAUUAUUGCCAUCAACUCCGAACACAAGUUAGCAUGAGUGAA